GAUGAAGAACGCAGCGAAAUGCGAUAAGUAAUGUGAAUUGCAGAAUUCAGUGAAUCAUCGAAUCUUUGAACGCACAUUGCGCCCGCCAGUAUUCUGGCGGGCAUGCCUGUUCGAGCGUCAUUUCAACCAUCAAGCCCCAGGCUUGUGUUGGGGACCUGCGGCUGCCGCAGGCCCUGAAAACCAGUGGCGGGCUCGCUGUCACACCGGGCGUAGUAGAUUUUAUCUCGCUCAGGGCGUGCUGCGGGUUCCGGCCGUUAAAAAGCCUUUUUUACCCAAGGUUGACCUCGGAUCAGGUAGGAAGACCCGCUGAACUUACGCAUAUCAAUAAGCGGAGGA
This 336-nucleotide unclassified non-coding RNA is filed under the name soil metagenome. RNAcentral's name for it is "partial contains 5.8S ribosomal RNA, internal transcribed spacer 2, and large subunit ribosomal RNA". The stretch from base 1 to 120 matches the Rfam family "5.8S ribosomal RNA", at positions 35 to 154 of the family's 154-position model. The record is from RNAcentral.